GACGAACGCUGGCGGCGUGCUUAACACAUGCAAGUCGAACGGACAGGCCCUGCUUUUGUUUGGUGCUCGAGUGGCGAACGGGUGCGUAACACGUGAGUAACCUUCCCUUGACUUUGGGAUAACUUCAGGAAACUGGGGCUAAUACCGGCUAAGAGCUCCUGCUGCAUGUUGGUGGUUGGAAAGUUUCGGCGGUUGGGGAUGGAGUCGCGGCUUAUCAGCUUUGAGGUGGGGUAGUGGCUUACCAAGGUUUUGACGGGUAGCCGGCCUGAGAGGGUGACCGGCCACAGAGUGACAGAGGUGCGGGCCGGACGGAUACUGCGGGAAGCAGUGAGAGUCAGACCGCGAUGGGCGGAAGCCGUAUGCAGCAACGCCGCGUGCUAGAUCACUGCCUUCGGGGUGUAACCCGUGUUCGCGUGGGACGAAGCGUGAGUGACGGUAAUGGGUAAAGAAGCACCGGCUAACUACGUG
Molecule: ribosomal RNA, 468 nt
Filed under: uncultured bacterium
Lineage: Bacteria
Description: partial 16S ribosomal RNA
Rfam family: Bacterial small subunit ribosomal RNA
Source: RNAcentral